GGCGCCGGUGAUUCCUCUCUGGUGAUUAUCCUGCUAACAGUGGCGGCCCUAUUCCGAGCGUUCCGUGCUGGGCCGGCGGUCAGCGAGCGGCGCGGCUGAUUCCUCUCCGGCGAUUGUGCGGCCAACCGUGCUCAAUCCCCAACUAUCCCCAAUUGGAUUUGGGUCCCUAGAUUGGGCUAGAUUUGCAAAGCAAACAGAGGAGGCGACUAGCUCGUGGCUCAUUGGGUUGUCUCCUCCAAGUUCAGCACAUCUAAAAAUUAAGGAAAUAGGAGAGGGGACGAGUAACUAUGGAAUGCCAAAGCGAAGUGAGCAAGGCUCCUUCUUUGGCUAUUUGUGAUGUCCAGUCUGAUGCAGAAUCAGCCGUCCACACUAGGCCAAGUC
Molecule: long non-coding RNA, 381 nt
Organism: Triticum aestivum (bread wheat)
Lineage: Eukaryota; Viridiplantae; Streptophyta; Magnoliopsida; Poales; Poaceae
Exons: 3
Source: RefSeq, a predicted model, not a curated record